Molecule: ribosomal RNA, 253 nt
Filed under: uncultured bacterium
Lineage: Bacteria
Description: partial 16S ribosomal RNA
Rfam family: Bacterial small subunit ribosomal RNA
Source: RNAcentral
UACGGAGGAUGCGAGCGUUAUCCGGAUUCACUGGGUUUAAAGGGUGAGUAGGCGGGUAGGUAAGUCAGUGGUGAAAGUCUGUCGCUUAACGAUAGGAUUGCCAUUGAUACUGCUUAUCUUGAGUUCAGUUGAGGCAGGCGGAAUGUGCAGUGUAGCGGUGAAAUGCUUAGAUAUUGCACAGAACACCGAUUGCGAAGGCAGCUUGCUAAACUGAUACUGACGCUGAGUCACGAAAGCGUGGGGAUCAAACAGG